This is an RNA transcript of Mandrillus leucophaeus (drill), 1202 nucleotides long. It is a transcript of the gene named actin, cytoplasmic 2-like, with no coding region annotated. The record is from RefSeq and is a predicted model, not a curated record. The transcript has a single exon. Lineage: Eukaryota; Metazoa; Chordata; Mammalia; Primates; Cercopithecidae.
AAAAGAGAAAGCGAGUCGCCGCCGCCAACUCACACACCUUGUUCUUCUGCCGCUCCACCGUCCUACUCCUCCGCUGGUCGCAAUGGAAGAGAUCACCAUGCUCCUCAUUGACAAUGGCUCCAGCAUGUGCAAAGUUGGCUUUGCUGGGGACGACGCCCCCCGAACCGUGUUUCCCUCCAUCGUCGGAUGCCCCCGACACCAGGGCGUGAUGGUGGGCAUGGGCCAGAAGGACUCCUAUGUGGGCAACGAGGCCCAGAGCAUGGGCAGCAUCCUGACCCUGAAGUACCCUAUUGAGCAUGGCAUCGUCACCAACUGGGACGACAUGGAGAUCUGGCACCACACCUUCUACAACGAGCUGCCCGUGGCCCCAGAGGAGCACCCAGUGCUGCUGACCGAGGCCCCCCUGAACCCCAAGACCAACAGAGAGAAGAUGACUCAGAUUAUGUUUGAGACCUUCAACACCCCGGCCAUGCACGUGGCCAUCCAGGCAGUUCUGUCCCUCUACACCUCUGGGCGCACCACUGGCAUUGUCAUGGACUCUGGAGACGGGUUCACCCACACGGUGACCAUCUACGAGAGCUACGCCCUCCCCCAUGCCAUCCUGCGUCUGGACCUGGCUGGCCGGGACCUGACUGUCUACCUCAUGAAGAUCUUCACCGAGCAUGGCUACAGCUUCACCAUCACAGCCGAGUGGGAAAUUGUGCGCGACAUCAAGGAGAAGCUGUGCUACGUUGUCCUGGACUUUGAGCAGGAGAUGGCCACCACCGCAUCUUCCUCUUUUCUGGAGAAGAGCUACAAGCUGCCCGAUGGCCAGGUCAUCACCAUCGGCAAUGAGCAGUUCCGGUGUCCGGAGGCACUGUUCCAGUCUUCCUUCCUGGGCAUGGAACCUUGCGGCAUCCAUGAGAUGCUUCAACUCCAUCAUAAAGUGUGAUGUGGACAUCCGCAAAGACCUGUACGCCAACACGGUGCUGUCCAGAGGCACCAACAUGUACCCAGGCAUCGCCGACAGGAUGCAGAAGGAGAUCACCACCCUGGCACCGAGCACCAUGAAGAUCAAGAUCAUUGCACCCCCAGAGCGCAAGUACUCGGUGUGGAUCGGCAGCUCCAACCUGGCCUCACUAUCCACCUUCCAGCAGAUGUGGAUAAGCAAGCAGAAGUAGGACAAGUCGGGCCCCUACAUCGUCCACUGCAAAUGCUUCUAA